Molecule: non-coding RNA, 551 nt
Organism: Delphinapterus leucas (beluga whale)
Lineage: Eukaryota; Metazoa; Chordata; Mammalia; Artiodactyla; Monodontidae
Source: RefSeq, a predicted model, not a curated record
GGCUAGUGAGCAGAUAAGCCUCUCAGUCUGGAUCAAGGAGAAAAGAAGAAAGUCCACAUGCCCAGUGCCCCAGUUUCUCAUCUCAAUGCUAGUCCCUGCCUCCUCUACAAGAAACAAAGCUCGUAAGCUUACACACACAGGGAUGCUGGAGGAAUGACUAAACAACAUGAAAGCUCUCUGCAAUGAUUAAAAUGUCAAUAAAGGACUGCCAGGUGUGACAAUCAUGGGAUAACCCAGUGGAAAUGUGAAGGAAGAGGGAUGAUGUCCAGCAUGAGAUGAAGCCAGUCAGGGAAAAAGGACAGCAGUGGCAAGUGCUCAGCAACAGCUUCAGAGAAAAGGACUGACACUGACAUAGAUGAAAGGCAAGGCUUAAGAUGACUGAUGCCCUGGACAACAUUUUGCCUGCAACUUUAUGAAAGACCCUGAGCCAGACCACUCCAGCUAAGCCUCUCUCUCCCAGAUCCCUGACACCCAGAAACUGUAUAACUGUAAACACUGGAGGGAAAACAUUUGAGGACACUGGGAGGUGAAUAUUCAGAGUUUGGAGAAAA